GACGAACGCUGGCGGCGUGCCUAAUACAUGCAAGUAGAACGCACAGUAUAUACCGUAGCUUGCUACACCAUAGACUGUGAGUUGCGAACGGGUGAGUAACGCGUAGGUAACCUGCCUGGUAGCGGGGGAUAACUAUUGGAAACGAUAGCUAAUACCGCAUAAUAUUAAUUAUUGCAUGAUAAUUGAUUGAAAGAUGCAACUGCAUCACUACCAUAUGGACCUGCGUUGUAUUAGCUAGUAGGUGAGGUAACGGCUCACCUAGGCGACGAUACAUAGCCGACCUGAGAGGGUGAUCGGCUACACUGGGACUGAGACACC
This 318-nucleotide ribosomal RNA is filed under the name uncultured Streptococcus sp. Its description in RNAcentral is "bacterial SSU rRNA". It matches the Rfam family "Bacterial small subunit ribosomal RNA", at positions 28 to 328 of the family's 1533-position model. The record is from RNAcentral. Lineage: Bacteria; Bacillati; Bacillota; Bacilli; Lactobacillales; Streptococcaceae.